AGAGUGGAGCCGCAGCGGGUGGGCAGUGUCUACACCUAGGUCGGGGAGGCUGGGUGCGCCCUUCUUCGGAUCCCUGGGUCGGCUGGCGAAACCCGCCCAGCCGGUCCAGUCGUCCUCCGAAGCUGGGAGAACAGGGAGGGGCAGACAGGUGGAAGAAGACCAAGGGUGCUGGUAACGGGGGCUAACUGGGCAGCCAGACACCGGAGGGAUCAUCCAUUUAAAGGCCUCGCAAUCUAGAGGCCGGACUCCUAAUGAAGUAACAUGACUUUAUUGUUCCAAUAACAGGCACCUGGAUGGAGCACCUAAGGGAAGUGUUCAGAAAGACAUGUUUGUUGAGAGUUCUUACCGUGAAAAAAUAAAAAGAUUUGAUGACUUUUCUAAGAUAAUGAAUUCAGAAGCAUCUGGAGGUUUCAGUGUUUGGCCUCUGAAGGAGGGCUUAUAGGGCUUUUUAUAAGUCCUAAAGCACGUAGGUUCUUUUUGUUAUUCCCAAUUGGUUGCCUUGUAGAUUCCUACUAAAACCCUUAAUGAAAAGGACUAUGCGCUAUGGUUGUUCUAAAGAAAUAGAAGUAAUAGUAGGACUAGAG
RNAcentral lists this long non-coding RNA (584 nucleotides) under Homo sapiens (human). Its description in RNAcentral is "non-protein coding lnc-SMARCC2-7:5". The record is from RNAcentral. Lineage: Eukaryota; Metazoa; Chordata; Mammalia; Primates; Hominidae.